UGAAGCAAAAGUCGCUAGUUUCCCUUUCUA
This 30-nucleotide non-coding RNA is filed under the name Rattus norvegicus (Norway rat). Lineage: Eukaryota; Metazoa; Chordata; Mammalia; Rodentia; Muridae. The record is from RNAcentral.